UGGGGAAUAUUGCACAAUGGGCGGAAGCCUGAUGCAGCGACGCCGCGUGAGGGAUGACGGCCUUCGGGUUGUAAACCUCUUUCAGCCUUGACGAAGCGUAAGUGACGGUAGGGGCAGAAGAAGCGCCGGCUAACUACGUGCCAGCAGCCGCGGUAAGACGUAGGGCGCGAGCGUUGUCCGGAAUUAUUGGGCGUAAAGAGCUCGUAGGCGGCUUGUUGCGUCGACUGUGAAAACCCGCGGCUCAACCGUGUGGCUUGCAGUCGAUACGGGCAGGCUAGAGUUCGGUAGGGGAGACUGGAAUUCCUGGUGUAGCGGUGAAAUGCGCAGAUAUCAGGAGGAACACCGGUGGCGAAGGCGGGUCUCUGGGCCGAUACUGACGCUGAGGAGCGAAAGCGUGGGGAGCGAACAG
RNAcentral lists this ribosomal RNA (409 nucleotides) under uncultured bacterium. RNAcentral describes it as "bacterial SSU rRNA". It matches the Rfam family "Bacterial small subunit ribosomal RNA", at positions 355 to 775 of the family's 1533-position model. The record is from RNAcentral.